This 763-nucleotide ribosomal RNA is filed under the name uncultured Streptococcus sp. Its description in RNAcentral is "bacterial SSU rRNA". It matches the Rfam family "Bacterial small subunit ribosomal RNA", at positions 28 to 776 of the family's 1533-position model. The record is from RNAcentral. Lineage: Bacteria; Bacillati; Bacillota; Bacilli; Lactobacillales; Streptococcaceae.
GACGAACGCUGGCGGCGUGCCUAAUACAUGCAAGUAGAACGCUGAAGGAGGAGCUUGCUUCUCUGGAUGAGUUGCGAACGGGUGAGUAACGCGUAGGUAACCUGCCUGGUAGCGGGGGAUAACUAUUGGAAACGAUAGCUAAUACCGCGUAACAGUAGAUGUUGCAUGACAUUUGCUUAAAAGGUGCAAUUGCAUCACUACCAGAUGGACCUGCGUUGUAUUAGCUAGUUGGUGGGGUAACGGCUCACCAAGGCGACGAUACAUAGCCGACCUGAGAGGGUGAUCGGCCACACUGGGACUGAGACACGGCCCAGACUCCUACGGGAGGCAGCAGUAGGGAAUCCUCGGCAAUGGACGGAAGUCUGACCGAGCAACGCCGCGUGAGUGGAGAAGGUUUUCGGAUCGUAAAGCUCUGUUGUAAGAGAAGAACGGGUGUGAGAGUGGAAAGUUCACACUGUGACGGUAUCUUACCAGAAAGGGACGGCUAACUACGUGCCAGCAGCCGCGGUAAUACGUAGGUCCCGAGCGUUGUCCGGAUUUAUUGGGCGUAAAGCGAGCGCAGGCGGUUAGAUAAGUCUGAAGUUAAAGGCUGUGGCUUAACCAUAGUACGCUUUGGAAACUGUUUAACUUGAGUGCAAGAGGGGAGAGUGGAAUUCCAUGUGUAGCGGUGAAAUGCGUAGAUAUAUGGAGGAACACCGGUGGCGAAAGCGGCUCUCUGGCUUGUAACUGACGCUGAGGCUCGAAAGCGUGGGGAGCAAACAGG